This 201-nucleotide long non-coding RNA is filed under the name Gossypium barbadense (sea-island cotton). RNAcentral describes it as "long non-coding RNA (GBAR_LNC022004)". The record is from RNAcentral. Lineage: Eukaryota; Viridiplantae; Streptophyta; Magnoliopsida; Malvales; Malvaceae.
UUCGCUGAAGUCCCGUUCUCUGUCACCGAAGACGAGUUUAAAGAAGGGACGGGGAAGGCUUCUUUUUUUCUUACCUGUUUUGCUGGGCUCGGGUUGAGAACCCCUUUUGUUCCGCAUGACUCCGGCCACUGUCCUCGGUGGCGUUGCGAUGGGGAUGCGGCGGAUGACGGUGGGGUUCCAAUAGCAGAGAAGGGGAAGCCC